This is an RNA transcript of Centrocercus urophasianus (Greater sage-grouse), 4188 nucleotides long. It is a transcript of the gene named TAFA chemokine like family member 2, with no coding region annotated. Lineage: Eukaryota; Metazoa; Chordata; Aves; Galliformes; Phasianidae. The record is from RefSeq and is a predicted model, not a curated record. The transcript has 3 exons.
UACUCAGACUGGAGAACGUUAAAAUUAGAUUCCCUUAAAAUAAUUUUAUAUUCUCUAAAUGGAUGCCCACUCCUCUGUCAGCACUCACUACUUUGCCUUAAUUUUCUCUGCACACGGGAAAGUCUUUUCUUUAUUUGGAGACUCUAAAUUGAUGGAAAGAAAGAGGAAAAUGAUCAAAGUGUUUCAAGUUGCUGACUCGUUGUUUUUAAACAUUUUUUUUUUCCUGCCUGGGUAUUGCUCUCCUGUAUUCUAACUUGUUUUUUAGUUGUCUUAUAUUCCCUCAGCUGUGGCAGUAUUCGUGGAGCCAAAUGUGAGUGCACUUCCUCAAAAUGCCAGCAGUGGAAGCUGGUAAGCAAGUGGGGGAAAAUCACCAAAGGAAUCUGGAGCUUGGGACAAAGGUAGAAAACACAUCAGUACUGCACUAACAAAGCAGCAGGUACCCUCAUAGAGGAGAUAAAAUUACAGUCUUUUAUGUCGUCAUGCUGCAGUCCCACUGUGGAGUUGUGAUCACCUCCAAAAACCACAAGAGGAUAUAUCCUUGUCUGAAUUACUACAGUUAUUAUCUGUUACAGAAAGUAAAAUAAGGUUUAUGUUUAAGUCUUCUCUCAAUACAAAACUUUUGUCUGUAAAUGAAAAAUUUCAUGAAGUUUUAACACUCUAACAUAAACUUGAUUUCUCUGCUGAAUUACAGAAUCACUGAGAAAGUUUAGUUGUGGACAUUGUAGUGACAUUGUCUUUUGGAAGAGAUUAACAACAAAAUACAUUUGAAAAAGUAAUGAAUUAUAUUUAUCUUUGACGUAACUCAAACGUCUUCAUCAGUUAUAUGUUAUGAUAAUUGUCCCAGUGCAUUAUAUCAAUUACAUUUAUUUUGUAAAAUAUCAAAUUCAAGUGAAUGUGAAUCCAGAGCCACAUUUAUUUCUCUGAUAAUAUUUUAAAUAUGUAGUUAUUUUAUUAAAUCAAGGGACCAUCCAACUUAUGAGUUUUAUCUUGUAAUAGACGUUUCUAAUAAUCUGCAGUAGGACAUUUAUGUUAAAAGGUCUAAUAGAAAAAGAAAAAAAGGAAGAUAAUUAUCUUUCGUAAGCAUUAUUUAAAGAAAAUAAGUUGGUCUUUUGAGGUGCUGUGAAACCCUUUUCAGAAGCAGUCAGAAUUUAUCAGCAAAUCCAAAACUUAUCUAAAAAAUCUCAAAAGAUAAAGAAAUAGGUGCCUGAAUUAAACAGCGUGUUUUGAUGUUAUUUUAUGGUGUUUCCUGUAGCCUACUAGCCAUAGAAGAGACUGUAAGUAGAGUUCUCCUCUGAAUGCACAUUUUUGUAAAACUUGAUGCAGUUGAGUUCUUUUGCUUUUGUUUUGUGUUUUUUUUUAAUGUAUUUAAUGUUUUUUUAACGUUAAGAAAACACUCAAGUCUUUCAUUUAGAAGGAAAUGUAUUCUGGUCACAUGCCUCUUAUUUGUAUCAAAGUUCUAUUCUAUUCAAUUCUUUCAAUUACUGUUUAAUAGAAGAAUACUGACAUACGUGCAGAAAUGAGAGCAAAUGCUACUUAUCCACUUCUGUUUGGUUUUCUAGACAAAUCACGAAGUCUGAAUUUGAGUAUAUUUGAACCUUUUCCUUUGAAAUUGCUGUUAUUGUUCAGGUUAUUUUUUGAGACCAUGCUCCUUUGCUAAGAGAAUUUACUUUGGUUCUGAAAUAUGUUCCCUCCUGUUGUUCUGCACUUUUACCUGUAAGUUAAAGAAAAUUCCAUCUAUCCCAGUUUUGUUUUCUGUAAGUAAUUCCGUAACAGUGUAGUACUUGACAUGUGUUUGUUUCUUAGGCAAACGUGUAAAACUCUUCAAGUCCGAAUGGAGAAGUAGAGAAAGGAGGUUUCUGCUGUGCCUGAUGACAAUUUAUGAUUUUUCCACACAUACUAAAUAAUCUGGCUCCACGUUGGAGCACUAGUUGUGAUGAAUCCUAGUCAUGGUCGGAUUCUAAGGAAGGGCCAGAACGUUCGUUGAGGAAUAAAGAGUCAAACCACUCCAGAAAAUGUGUUCCAGCCCUGGUUUAUUACUCACAGAGCAGCAGGUAACCCGAUAGCUAAAGACAAAUCAAGUCGGUCUCAAGGCUGAUAACGUUAAAUACAACACAUAGGAAUUUCAUUUCUCCAGGCAAUCCUUGAAGUGAAAUUUUGUACUGCUGGGGUGUAGCCUUCAGAAUCAAUUGUUUCAAUGAGAACCUGGUUUGUAAUCAACAACAGCCUUGAGAUCAAAACUACUGAAGAGUUAUUUUGAACUUCUGUGUCACAAAGAUUUCAACUGAGUGAACUGUGUACACUUGUAAAAUUGCACUUGCAGAGGAAUUUGCAGCUGUAAUCUCAAGAGAUGGUUUUUGAAAGGUGCAGAAAAUCAGCAAUCAUUCGGAUUCUUCUUUCCAGACUGGUGGCAUUUCAUCCUGAUGAAGUCACUCUCCAAAAUGUAUUGGUUCCUCCCCUCUAAAAUGAUCCCUGGUCCGCAUUCCGAUUGCUGGUGGGACUGCACACUGCUUUAAUUAAAUUUCCAUUGCAGAAAUUGUCCUCUGGCAUGGCACAAUUUUAGACAUUUUUAUUUGUAAUCUAAUCUUGGAGCUCUAAAGGGUACAUAUUUCAACAUCUUGAAGUUGCUUUUGUUAUAGGAAUGGAAAUAUAUACCCAUUGUUAAUAAUUAUUGUUGACAAGUAAUAGUUAUCUGAAUACAUCAGUCAUAUUAGAAUGUAUAGUCGGGUUGACAUGUUUCCCUAAGGCUAACCAACUACUGCAGCUAUUUGGCAGUUAAAAAAAGUAGUGGUCAAAACUCAAUUACCACUUCCAUUAUAAAGCAUUUUAUACCUUUAAGAUAUAUAUUUCAAUUUACUUUGAAGGAGGCAAGUGUUCCUGCACUUUACUUUCCCAACCUUUAAAUCACUGAAAUUCAUGGUAAGCAGUCAAGGAAAGUGUUUCAUCCAUUUUUAUAAAAGUAGGCAGGGAUGUAAAUGAGUUUUUCAAUUAUGAAAUUGGGUGGUAAUCAUUCAGAUUUUUUUCUCUUUUCAGUGAAAAAUAAAAUCUCUUGCUUUAAACUAAGUACUGUUGGAUGCUUAUGUAGAUGUCUGCUCAGACUGAUUGCUAUAAAGGAAAAAUGUCCUAGUGCCCUCCUAGAUAUAGGGUUCAUGAGUAUUUUGCUUGCUUACUGUCCUGAAAUUCAAACCUAAUCUGUGCCAAAAUCACAUUUUCUUUUUUUAAUUUUCUAUUUCAGUAGCAAUUUUUUGAACCUUGUGAUGUGCUGUUACAUGAAAAAACCUCCAUAUUUAAAGGCCUUAAGCAUCUAUGAACUUUUUUCUAAGUUAUCACAGAAUGUAUAAUUUUAUACUUCAUUUAGUGUAUAUUGUGCCAUCUGUAAUAUUGAUACAACAAAAAUUUGGCAAUUCCUUUUAAUGACACUACAUAAGCAUGCUAACUGAGAGUGAGAGAGUUCUGACUGUAUGCUUUGGUGCAUUAAAUGAUAAGCACACACAGUUAAUGGUAGGCAAAAAAUAUAUAGGAUGAAGCUUAUUUAGAAGUCCUGUGUGGUUACCAAGCUCUCUGAAAAUAAGAUGGAAAUGAUUUUUUCAUUACCAGCUAUUGACAUGCAAGGUAGUUAUAUAUAAAGUUCCAUGAUGGUUGCAUACCUUGGAGGGAUCUGCCUGUCACGCUAUCCCCGGCGGCUCCAAAACCAUUUCAUUACCUCUGUUGUGUUACUGCACAGGAGAUCUUAAACAAAAUAAAUGAUUGUUGGGAAUAAAAUUGAGAAAUAUCUUCUAUCAUUCUGCUGAGAAAUAAUAAAAAAUGUUGGCAGGGAAAAAUAUUCUUCUCUGAUUGAAAUUUAAUUAGGAUAAACUGUUUGUAGCAGCAAUUAGGUAUCUCGGUAUUUUAGGAUGGAUUAGUAAUUAAUGGAUGAUGUGCGAAUGCAGGAUGGAAGGUAGCAUCUUAAAAAGACUGGGACAGUGCAAAGUAUUAAUGUGGUGUUUUGUAAAAUCUGAAUAUGAACUGUCUUUGGUCAAAAGUCUGCAUCAUGCUUCUGAAUAUUGUUUUAUUUGUUCCUUUGUUCUUAAACCAACACUGAAAAUACUGUAUUAUAUACAAGUGUAACACAUGCAUAUCAAUAAGUGAAAAUAAAUGGAUUUUCAAAUAUAACGAGUAGAUUAUCUGCAGUAGAUUAAUGUUGUGAUAAUU